GAUAAACGCUGGCGGCGUGCCUAAUACAUGCAAGUCGAGCGAACAGACGAGGAGCUUGCUCCUCUGAUGUUAGCGGCGGACGGGUGAGUAACACGUGGAUAACCUACCUAUAAGACUGGGAUAACUUCGGGAAACCGGAGCUAAUACCGGAUAACAUGUUGAACCGCAUGGUUCAACAGUGAAAGACGGUCUUGCUGUCACUUAUAGAUGGAUCCGCGCCGCAUUAGCUAGUUGGUAAGGUAACGGCUUACCAAGGCAACGAUGCGUAGCCGACCUGAGAGGGUGAUCGGCCACACUGGAACUGAGACACGGUCCAGACUCCUACGGGAGGCAGCAGUAGGGAAUCUUCCGCAAUGGGCGAAAGCCUGACGGAGCAUCGCCGCGUGAGUGAAGAAGGUCUUCGGAUCGUAAAACUCUGUUAUUAGGGAAGAACAAAUGUGUAAGUAACUAUGCACGUCUUGACGGUACCUAAUCAGAAAGCCACGGCUAACUACGUG
This 497-nucleotide ribosomal RNA is filed under the name uncultured bacterium. RNAcentral's name for it is "partial 16S ribosomal RNA". It matches the Rfam family "Bacterial small subunit ribosomal RNA", at positions 28 to 507 of the family's 1533-position model. The record is from RNAcentral.